CAGCCGCCGCGGGAAUACGGAGGGUGCAAGCGUUAAUCGGAAUUACUGGGCGUAAAGCGCACGCAGGCGGUCUGUCAAGUCAGAUGUGAAAUCCCCGGGCUUAACCUGGGAACUGCAUUUGUGACUGGCGAGCUAGAGUAUGGCAGAGGGGGGUAGAAUUCCACGUGUAGCAGUGAAAUGCGUAGAGAUGUGGAGGAAUACCGAUGGCGAAGGCAGCCCCCUGGGCCAAUACUGACGCUCAUGCACGAAAGCGUGGGGAGCAAACAGGAUUAGAUACCCGUGUAGUCCCUGUCUCUUAUAA
Molecule: ribosomal RNA, 301 nt
Filed under: uncultured bacterium
Lineage: Bacteria
Description: partial 16S ribosomal RNA
Rfam family: Bacterial small subunit ribosomal RNA
Source: RNAcentral